RNAcentral lists this ribosomal RNA (126 nucleotides) under Setaria italica (foxtail millet). The record is from RNAcentral. Lineage: Eukaryota; Viridiplantae; Streptophyta; Magnoliopsida; Poales; Poaceae.
GCUUUUGCCCCUGCUAAGAUCCAUGUACCUCCUGGGAAGUCCCAUAAGAACUCCGAGGUUAAGCGUGCUUGGGCGAGAGUAGUACUAGGAUGGGUGACCUCCUGGGAAGUCCUCGUGUUGCAUUCC